AUAAGGAGCAUUUAAGAAUGAGGUAAAGUGGCGUCUCCUCUUCCUGGUCCCAAAGAUUAUAGAGACCACCAUGCUGCAAAUUUAUGAUUGAAUGGUUGUCAUUGGUGAGAAUCCUUCCACGGAGCAUCAGCCAACCGAAGAAACGGCAUUUACGUUCGACCUUUGCCUUAUAAAAUUUGAUGACAUUGAUGUUGCAGUGUGAUCCAUGAACCUGGGCCAAGUAUGCAGAGCAAGCACAAUAGGAGGCAAAAUUAGAGGCAUUCCAGCUCAUAGAAUUUCGAGUGUUGGGCUGCAAACUGAAUAUGUUGGAUCAUAGACCAAAGUUUGUUUAACUACCAUAGCUGAAGAGUGGUUAUGCGGUGGAACUCGGACGUCCAUUUUUGAUUUGUGAAACCCUGCUUGACAGUGAUGUCCUUUGUGAUGAAACAAGGGGCUUGUCCGUACAUCCAUGGAUGCAUUGUUUUAUAUUUUUGAAAGGUUCCACUAAACAAAGCCUAUUAAGUGUUAUCAUAGACAUUAGCAGGAAGCAUGUGAUUCGUGACCAGCAUAAUCAUUUUUAUUCCCCCCUUUGUGAAAUCUGCGUGCUUAUCUUUAUUAAGCUUCAGUGCAAUGCAAUACGGUUAUCAUAUUGGGACAAAGUAGGGACGGGGAUUUCUUUUCGUCCAGAAACUUACUAAUGCUUCUUUUUAAGGGAUUUUCUAUGCUUAUGCUAGAAAUGUUGGCGAGUGACUACACCACCUGUAACUUGGCAGGACACUGCACAAAAACUACUCCCUCCGUUCCUAAAUACUCCCUCCGUCCCAAAAUAACUGACUCAACUUUAUACUAACUUUAGCACAAAUUUAAUACAAAGUCAAAUCACUUAUUUUGGGACAGAGGGAGUAUAAGUCUUUGUAGAGAUUUCACUAGUGGGCUACAUACGGAUGUAUGUAGACAUACUUUAGAGUGUACAUUCAAUCAUUUUGCUCCGUAUGUAGACAUCUAGUGAAAUCGCUUAAAAGACUUAUAUUUAGGAACGGAGGGAGUAUAUAGUAUGCUAAAACCCCCUAUAGGAGGCCCUCAGCAUGGUUAGUAGUUUAGUGUUGCCUAGAAUCAAACAAAUCACAAAAAAUUGUGAGGCCAUAUGUUGAUAUGUUGUGAAACUUGCGUUACAUGAUUUGACAGCAUGGAGAUGACUAUAUUUUCUAUGUGUCGAAUGUGCAGAGGUGUAGUACCGGGAUUAUCAUAUUGGGCUAAUUAUCCUCUUGCCUUUAGUGGUGUUCAUGUGCUCAGUUUUAUCCUCAAUUGCGAAUCGUCCUCAGUUUUGCCCCUACACUGUGCGCAACUACUAUGACGAGGCCAAACAGACAGUUAUAAGUCCAUUCCGUCUAUACUCUGCGCGACUGCUCGCUGCUUCCACAACGGGUCGUCUACCUAGCAAGUCGGGCGGUGCUGCGUACGCCGCCUUAAGCGUCGUCUACUUCGUUCCGUCAUCGUCAACAACGUAGCUGCACCGAACACAUCUGCUUCAUCUGCAAACGUUCGGUACGUGCGUCAUGUUUCCGUUGGCCUGAUGAACAUGUUAGAUGCGUACAUGUUUUGCUAUUCGGUGUUGCUGCUAUUCAUGUUGUCUACUACAUCUAGUAUGUUAGAGUUUCACAUGUUAGUAGCUAGUAUCGUCAUGCUUUAUAUUCUGGAAUUAAUCAUGAAAAUUGUGCUUAAUUACUCAACAUCUGCAUGGGGCCCCAUCAUUAGACGGACGUGACGGGCGUGUCCGGACGUGUCCGAACACCCUAUAUCCGCUCCAUAUUUAGACUGGAUAUGAGAAGUGCUAGUCAGUCCGGACGUUCAAGGCCCGUUGGCCCUGCUAGGUUAAUUUUUCAUGAUCGAUCAGUGACCGAACGACCUGACCAGAUGUUUGAGACGGAUAUGAAGGGUCCGACUAAAUGCUCUUAGUCAUCUAACCAACACAGUCGUUUGACGAGCUAGGCAACUACCCAACUGCAGGCAUGCGCAUGAAAGAUGUUGUUUGUGUGUGAGAGGUCCAAAAGAAAGGUUCAGUUUGGAUCAAUGCUAGAAUCAAUGAAUGUUGAGCCAAUCAUCAAUGAAAAAUAUACAUAACGGGAUCAGCUACGUAUGAUAAAAUAUAUUUAAAUGAGCACAUAAGGAAGGAGCCACUCGAAGGGGAAAUAAAACGUGUUGGACUUGGAACGAGUUGUGUUUGAAGGAAAAAUGUACGUGUACGUGAAAGAUGCAGGCCUCCGCGCAGGCGGGCCGAUCCACUCAAGGAUAUACUAUAUGGGUAAUAAAUAUUACUCCAUCCGUAAGCUAAUAUAAAAGCAUUUAAAACAUUACUUUAGUAAUCUAAAUAUUUUUAUAUCAGUUUAUAGAGAGAAUAGCUUUUAGGUUUGGACUGUUUUUUAGAGUUUAGACAACUUUGUGUCUAUCGACUAUGAAGCAUGUGUUUAUCUUUUUAAUCUUUAUGAGAUUUCCAUUUAAGAAGAUUACACUUUGUUUGGGGUCCGUCGUCACCGACGGCUUGCAUGUUGGUUUCAUCUACUAGGAAGAGUACUACUUCCUUCGUUUCUAAAUAUAAGUCUUUUAAGCGAUUUCAUUAAGAGUCUACAUACGGAGUAAAAUGAUUGAAUGUAUACUCUAAAGUAUGUCUAUAUACAUCCGUAUGUAGUUCACUAGUGAAAUCUCUAGAAAGACUUAUAUUUAGGAACGGAGGGAGUAAUAGUUAUAAGUAAUGCUCACUGUAACAAAUUUUACAAUUUACAAACAUUCUCACAUUACAAAAUCAAAUGGAAAAUUGCAAAUUCUCAUGUCUAAACAAUUCAUAAUUGACCAAACUAAUUUAGUUAGCCUGAAUUCAGUUUGAUAGUGACAAACUGACGGAUAAAUUCAGUAGCAUACUUUGUUUACUUGAUUCGGGGUCAAAGGAUUUGUACAUGUAAGUGGCGAUUAUACCUUCAAUAGCUGAAUUUGGGUUGCGUCUUUGAAUCACGGAUGGAUUCGUCGCUUAUACUGUACGCAGAGAUUAGAAAGUGUGAUGGAUCAGUGAUGGAAUCGUCGCCUGCUUCCGCGCCGGCCGCCGCCACGCGCACCUGAGAUCGAUCGGCAAUCAGGCGACGGCAACUCUCUGGGACCUGGCCGCCGUGCGGUGCCGAUCAGCGGUUGGCGGCUCCGCUCGGGUCUCUCCGCUCCGCUCGGUACGCAAGCGAUGUGGAUUUUCCUGAUAGAUCGUGUAUUCUGUUCUCUAUUCUGGUACGUGCUACAGCAGU
This 3263-nucleotide long non-coding RNA is filed under the name Hordeum vulgare. RNAcentral describes it as "long non-coding RNA (HVUL_LNC017891)". The record is from RNAcentral. Lineage: Eukaryota; Viridiplantae; Streptophyta; Magnoliopsida; Poales; Poaceae.